CGCCGCUGGGACGGCACGCAGGCGAGGCACCGCCAUGGGGAGCCCCGGCCCGAGGUCGCGGCGCGGUCCGGCGGGGUCCACCUCCAGGCGCGUGCGGGGCCCAGGAUCUCCGGACCCGCCGCGAGGCUACAAGACGCGCCCCCGAAGGCUCCCAACCUCCAGAGAUCCGGGUUCCCGCACCACCCACUCUGCCAAGCCCUGGGAGGCUGAAAGCUUGAUGGGACACAGUGGGUUCACCGCUCAGGAAGGCGGCGCAGAGAACACCAGCAUGGAACCGGCCCGCCCACCUGGCCUUGCUUUCUGCCACAGAUGGUGGAACCCGCCUGCUCUCCAGCCAUGACGAGGCCCGAGGCCAGGACCUGGCACUGCCUGGCAAUGAAUGCCUGAGGUAUUUGGGCCUCCGUGCUACAUUCCGAAUGACAUGUCCACAUUUGCCACGGACAAGAAUGACAGAUGGAGAAAAAUCAUCUCUGACCCUUGAAAGCCGGUCAUGUUCUAUGAGUAGGCAUGAAAGCAUCCUUCAGAAGUAUACUUCGCCAACCUAUUUUGUGGGGUAAACCUGCUAAUCCAUGCAAGCUGGAGGACCCGCGGAAGAUAAAUAAAUUUCAUGACAUGAGCUGGUUGAGGAAGCCACAAUGAAAAUCCACUAUAUCACAACAUAUACUUGGU
Long non-coding RNA from Zalophus californianus (California sea lion), 669 nucleotides. RefSeq lists it as uncharacterized. The transcript has 4 exons. Lineage: Eukaryota; Metazoa; Chordata; Mammalia; Carnivora; Otariidae. The record is from RefSeq and is a predicted model, not a curated record.